RNAcentral lists this ribosomal RNA (292 nucleotides) under uncultured eukaryote. RNAcentral's name for it is "partial 18S ribosomal RNA". It matches the Rfam family "Eukaryotic small subunit ribosomal RNA", at positions 6 to 233 of the family's 1831-position model. The record is from RNAcentral.
GGUUGAUCCUGCCAGUAGUCAUAUGCUUGUCUCAAAGAUUAAGCCAUGCAUGUCUAAGUAUAAACGAGAUUAUACAGUGAGACUGCGGAUGGCUCAUUAAAUCAGUUAUAGUUUAUUUGAUGGUUCCUUUUUCUUUUCCGCUACUUGGAUAACCGUAGUAAUCCUAGAGCUAAUACAUGCCAACGACCCCAACUAAGGGGGGGUGGAGGCGGGCGGAGGCAACUCCGUCCGUCUUCAUCCCGCUCACCCUUCGGAAGGGGCGUAUUUAUUAGAUAAAAAACCGACACAGGGC